This 728-nucleotide long non-coding RNA is filed under the name Homo sapiens (human). RNAcentral describes it as "non-protein coding lnc-NPBWR1-12:1". The record is from RNAcentral. Lineage: Eukaryota; Metazoa; Chordata; Mammalia; Primates; Hominidae.
GGUAGGGGAGAUCACGCGAGAGCAUGGCCUCCACCUCUCCUCCCCACCGCCAUCUCCACGUUCUCGCACCGGCGCUGGGGUGCAGGCUUUCAGUGGUCUCAGGGCUACGGCUUGUCGGUGCCUCGCCGCACAGUCCCCUUUGCAUUGAAGGACACGGUCUUACGGUGUAGGAGCAUUUUUGAGGUGCAUUCCUGGAUUUGGAGGCGAACCCCCAAUGGUUACCUCCACAGAGGCUUUGCGAAGGGCGCUCACUGACUUAGGUGAAGAGCGAAGGCUCAAGACUGUGCCGCUUUAUAGUGGCCCCUUGACGUCCAGAAGUUCCCCCCAGCGCCGGUCAUAAGCACUCCCGCCGCCUGGGCCCCGCCCUGCCUGCCAGGCGCCCUCCAGCCUCAGCUCCCGGACGCCCGGCGUGGCCGCUUUCUCGCGUCUUGCUGACCCGGGCCGGGGGCGUGUGCUCCUCCUGCAGCGGACGGAAGAUGCUGGGCCACGCAAGUUUCCCUGGGCUUGGUUAACCACCCCAAAGCCCAUUUCCAGAAGGAAAGGGUGUUGAGGAGGAGGGAUAGAAAGUCGAGAAGAGGGCCGGCCCUCUUCUUGGCUAGGCUUCAUGUUUGACCUGCUGGGCCUGAUUUUGCGAGAAUCCCCACACCCUUGGUACUUGUAUUAGUCUGCUCAGGCUGCCUUAUGGCAAAAUACCAUAGACUGGGUGGCUUAAACAACAGACAUCUUUA